This 71-nucleotide ribosomal RNA is filed under the name Caulobacterales bacterium RIFCSPHIGHO2_01_FULL_70_19. RNAcentral describes it as "partial 16S ribosomal RNA". It matches the Rfam family "Bacterial small subunit ribosomal RNA", at positions 1 to 70 of the family's 1533-position model. Lineage: Bacteria; Pseudomonadati; Pseudomonadota; Alphaproteobacteria; Caulobacterales. The record is from RNAcentral.
UCAACCUGAGAGUUUGAUCCUGGCUCAGAGCGAACGCUGGCGGCAGGCCUAACACAUGCAAGUCGAACGAA